ACGUAGGGUGCAGGCGUUAAUCGGAAUUACUGGGCGUAAAGCGUGCGCAGGCGGUUUCUUAAGUCAGAUGUGAAAGCCCCGGGCUUAACCUGGGAACUGCGUUUGAAACUGGGAGACUUGAGUGUGGCAGAGGGGGGUGGAAUUCCACGUGUAGCAGUGAAAUGCGUAGAUAUGAUGUAGAACACCGAUUGCGAAGGCAGCUCACUAAGCAGCGAUUGACGCUGAGGCACGAAAGCGUGGGGAUCAAACAGGA
Molecule: ribosomal RNA, 253 nt
Filed under: uncultured prokaryote
Description: partial 16S ribosomal RNA
Rfam family: Bacterial small subunit ribosomal RNA
Source: RNAcentral